CAGUCGCCGCGGUAAUACAGAGGGUGCGAGCGUUAAUCGGAUUUACUGGGCGUAAAGCGUGCGUAGGCGGCUUCUUAAGUCGGAUGUGAAAUCCCUGAGCUUAACUUAGGAAUUGCAUUCGAUACUGGGAAGCUAGAGUAUGGGAGAGGAUGGUAGAAUUCCAGGUGUAGCGGUGAAAUGCGUAGAGAUCUGGAGGAAUACCGAUGGCGAAGGCAGCCAUCUGGCCUAAUACUGACGCUGAGGUACGAAAGCAUGGGGAGCAAACAGGAUUAGAUACCCCCGUAGUCCCUGUCCUUAUACA
Molecule: ribosomal RNA, 301 nt
Filed under: uncultured bacterium
Lineage: Bacteria
Description: partial 16S ribosomal RNA
Rfam family: Bacterial small subunit ribosomal RNA
Source: RNAcentral